RNAcentral lists this ribosomal RNA (119 nucleotides) under Pteropus alecto (black flying fox). Lineage: Eukaryota; Metazoa; Chordata; Mammalia; Chiroptera; Pteropodidae. The record is from RNAcentral.
GUCUAUGGCCAUGCUACCCUGAACAAGCCCGAUCCUGUCUGAUCUUGGAAGUUAAGCAGGGUCGGGCCUGGUUAGUACUUGGAUGGGAGACCACCUAGGAAGACCAGGUACUAUAGGUG